AGGAGAUCCCAUUUGAGGAAGCACCAUUCAGUGGUCCUGAUGUGAUAACUCAGGAUACAGAAACCAGCAUGAAAGGAGACACCUCUGGAUACAUCUGUGACGGAAUUCCCAGAGGGGCUUAACUGAGAAGGAAAGACCUGCUUUGAAUGGGUACUGUGGCCAGAUGCUCACAGUCCUGUCACAAGUGAAACAUCUCUUUAUAACCAUGCCUACCCACCACAAUGGACCACACCUCCCUGCUAGGUCCCAAGGCCACUAUUAGGUGAGCUGCUUUGCUCCCUGGGAUACUGUCCCAUGAUGCUCUUCUUCAGCUCCUGUUUGAGGCUAAAGAUGUGAGCUGCUGUUCCAGUUGCCUGCUGCCAGCUACCUCUGUUUCCCCAUCAUGCACUAGCAACUCUCUGGAACUUCAAGGCCAAAAUAAAUUCUUUCUU
Molecule: long non-coding RNA, 431 nt
Organism: Mus musculus (house mouse)
Lineage: Eukaryota; Metazoa; Chordata; Mammalia; Rodentia; Muridae
Product: predicted gene, 39449
Exons: 4
Source: RefSeq, a predicted model, not a curated record